This 74-nucleotide ribosomal RNA is filed under the name Enterococcus faecalis. Its description in RNAcentral is "partial 16S ribosomal RNA". It matches the Rfam family "Bacterial small subunit ribosomal RNA", at positions 1 to 70 of the family's 1533-position model. The record is from RNAcentral. Lineage: Bacteria; Bacillati; Bacillota; Bacilli; Lactobacillales; Enterococcaceae.
CUUUUAUUAUGAGAGUUUGAUCCUGGCUCAGGACGAACGCUGGCGGCGUGCCUAAUACAUGCAAGUCGAACGCU